CAAAGUGUUUCUUGUUUGUUCUGAAAAGUAGCCACCCCCUGUGCUUAUUCAUGUGAAUGACUACAACAUGCUGGGGGCGUGUCUUCUCAGUAUCCACCCA
Molecule: long non-coding RNA, 100 nt
Organism: Nanorana parkeri
Lineage: Eukaryota; Metazoa; Chordata; Amphibia; Anura; Dicroglossidae
Exons: 3
Source: RefSeq, a predicted model, not a curated record